RNAcentral lists this transfer RNA (75 nucleotides) under Candidatus Nealsonbacteria bacterium CG10_big_fil_rev_8_21_14_0_10_40_24. RNAcentral describes it as "tRNA-Ala". It matches the Rfam family "tRNA". Rfam says of the family: Transfer RNA (tRNA) molecules are approximately 80 nucleotides in length. Lineage: Bacteria; Candidatus Nealsoniibacteriota. The record is from RNAcentral.
GGGCCGAUAGCUCAGUGGUAGAGCACUACAUUCGCAUUGUAGGGGUCGGGGGUUCAAAUCCCCCUCGGUCCACCA